This 529-nucleotide ribosomal RNA is filed under the name uncultured bacterium. RNAcentral describes it as "bacterial SSU rRNA". It matches the Rfam family "Bacterial small subunit ribosomal RNA", at positions 777 to 1304 of the family's 1533-position model. The record is from RNAcentral.
AAUAGAUACCCAGGUAGUCCACGCCGUAAACGAUGAGUGCUAAGUGUUAGAGGGUUUCCGCCCUUUAGUGCUGCAGCAAACGCAUUAAGCACUCCGCCUGGGGAGUACGGCCGCAAGGCUGAAACUCAAAGGAAUUGACGGGGGCCCGCACAAGCGGUGGAGCAUGUGGUUUAAUUCGAAGCAACGCGAAGAACCUUACCAGGUCUUGACAUCCUUAUGACUUCCCUAGAGAUAGGGCUUCCCCUUCGGGGGCAUAAGUGACAGGUGGUGCAUGGUUGUCGUCAGCUCGUGUCGUGAGAUGUUGGGUUAAGUCCCGCAACGAGCGCAACCCUUGAUCUUAGUUGCCAGCAUUCAGUUGGGCACUCUAAGGUGACUGCCGGUGACAAACCGGAGGAAGGUGGGGAUGACGUCAAAUCAUCAUGCCCCUUAUGACCUGGGCUACACACGUGCUACAAUGGAUGGUACAAAGGGCAGCGAAGCCGCGAGGUGAAGCGAAUCCCAUAAAACCAUUCUCAGUUCGGAUUGUAGG